RNAcentral lists this ribosomal RNA (393 nucleotides) under uncultured bacterium. RNAcentral describes it as "partial 16S ribosomal RNA". It matches the Rfam family "Bacterial small subunit ribosomal RNA", at positions 523 to 918 of the family's 1533-position model. The record is from RNAcentral.
AUACGGAGGAUGCAAGCGUUAUCCGGAUUUAUUGGGUUUAAAGGGUGCGUAGGCUGACGUGUAAGUCAGAGGUGAAAUGCCCGGGCUCAACCUGGGAACUGCCUUUGAUACUGCAUGUCUGGAGUUCGGAUGCCGUGGGAGGAAUGGGCAGUGUAGCGGUGAAAUGCAUAGAUAUUGCCCAGAACACCGAUUGCGAAGGCAUCUCACGAAUCCGACACUGACGCUGAGGCACGAAAGCGUGGGGAUCAAACAGGAUUAGAUACCCUGGUAGUCCACGCAGUAAACGAUGAUAACUAACCGUCGGCGAUAGACAGUCGGUGGCCAAGCGAAAGCGAUAAGUUAUCCACCUGGGGAGUACGUUCGCAAGAAUGAAACUCAAAUGAAUUGGCGGGG